GACGACGCUGGCGGCGUGCCUAACACAUGCAAGUCGAGCGGAGUCGAUCGACGGAAGGCCUUCGGGCGGAAGAUGGUUGACUUAGCGGCGGAUGGGUGAGUAACGCGUGGGCAACCUGCCUCGAAAGACCGGGAUAACAGCCCGAAAGGGCUGCUAAUACCGGAUGUGGUCAAGGAUCCGCAUGGAUUUUUGAUUAAAGGGGAAACCCGUUUCGAGAUGGGCCCGCGUCCUAUCAGCUAGUUGGUGAGGUAAAAGCUCACCAAGGCGACGACGGGUAGCCGGCCUGAGAGGGUGACCGGCCACACUGGAACUGAGACACGGUCCAGACUCCUACGGGGGGGCAGCAGUGGGGAAUCUUCCACAAUGGGCGAAAGCCUGAUGGAGCGACGCCGCGUGAGCGAAGAAGGCCUUCGGGUUGUAAAAGCUCUGUCUGGAGGGACGAAGGAAGUGACGGUACCUCCGGAGGAAGCCACGGCUAACUACGUG
Molecule: ribosomal RNA, 486 nt
Filed under: uncultured bacterium
Lineage: Bacteria
Description: bacterial SSU rRNA
Rfam family: Bacterial small subunit ribosomal RNA
Source: RNAcentral